Molecule: non-coding RNA, 376 nt
Filed under: Thyridaria acaciae
Lineage: Eukaryota; Fungi; Ascomycota; Dothideomycetes; Pleosporales; Thyridariaceae
Description: partial 18S ribosomal RNA
Rfam family: Group I catalytic intron (bases 32-330)
About the family: Group I catalytic introns are large self-splicing ribozymes. They catalyse their own excision from mRNA, tRNA and rRNA precursors in a wide range of organisms.
Source: RNAcentral
AGCCAAACGACUGAGAACAAAUUGGCCCUAUGCAAGUUGGUGCCUCCGGGCGCCGGCGACACUUUCGAAUUGACGGGGAUCCCCUAAAGCCCUUCUCACCAAGCCAGCCCGGGAAACCGGCUGGUGGCCUGUUGGAAACCACAGGGUAUGGUAAUAGAAGAAGGGAUGACCCAGCCUGCUUUGGCGGCUGGCGAAAUGGGCAAUCCGCAGCGAAGCCCCUACGUGCCUGCCUCAGCAGCCAUACGGGGAACGUUCACAGACUAAGUGGAAGUGGGUGGAGCUCUAAGAGCUCCGCUUAAGAUAUAGUCGAGCCCUUGAGGAGACUCAGGGAGGUAGUUCUAACUGUUCCGUAGGUGAACCUUCGGAAGGAUCAUUA